Molecule: ribosomal RNA, 400 nt
Filed under: uncultured prokaryote
Description: partial 16S ribosomal RNA
Source: RNAcentral
CCCUACGGGGUGCAGCUGGGCGUCUUCUCGAUAUUCUCAUUCAACCCGCGCUGCAUUGAUGCCGCGCGAUGCAGCCACUGUGGUCUUUGCGCCAAAAGCUGCCCGACGCAGGCGAUCCGCCAUGACACUGCGGCCAAAACUACUGCCGUCCAGCCGUACAAAUGCAUUCAGUGCGGACGCUGCGCCGAAGUCUGCAAACGCAAUGCCUUCCAGAAAUCCACGCCUUGCAACGCGGGCGGAACGUGCCCGGGCGAUGCGGGUUCUGGUGAGGCAUAGGUUCUCGCUGCAUCAGGUCAAUUUCUGUAUUCGAUGCCUAUGCUUGUAUAUCCUGCGUGUAUUCCAUCUUGAGCCACGCGGGUAGCCACAUACAAGCGUGGUUGAGGUGGGGAUUGGGGAGAGC